UGCUUCAUACACUACUCCAUAAGAUAUUGAAAGUAGUUUAUGUGUGUGUGUGUGUGUUUGUGUCUUGCUAACACUUAUCUCUCUCUCUCUCUCUCUCUCGAAUAAAUAUAUAUAUAUAUAUACAUACACACACACCUUGCUAACUGUGAUACUUUGUAGUGACCGAGAGUGUUGUUACUUCUUUCUUUGAUGUUAAAAUAUGACUAACCUUCAAGCUUCGAAGACCACGUUGUAGUAGCAAUGAAGAGGAAUUCGUAACCUGUAUGAUAGGUUUAAAACAACCUGUAUGAUGGGUUUAACUUGGCAUAAAAUAGAUUAGACCUUAAGGCUGCCCUAUGGUGACUGUGCUUUGCCUUGACAUCUCAUGCAAUUAUCUAACAUGUCCUAGAGAGCAUGGCGUUUAACAAUAACCUAAUUACAAUCAGAAUUGAAGAUGUUCGUUCAUCCUUUUUUUUUUGUCCAUCUUAGUACUGGGUAUUGCAAACUAAAAAAGUUCCAUUUCUUAAUUUGUUUAGUAUAAUGCUGAACCAUUAAUAAUUCAAUUUCUUAUAUUUCUGUUGCUUUUGAAAUACUCAGGAGCUUGCUUGUUGAUAUAUGUUCAGUUGCGCCGUGGGAUACUGAUUUAUUUGCCUUUUCUUUCCAGUUACCUAUGUGAUAAAUGCUAAACUGGCACCUGUAUUUGGCCAGCCCCUUAACCCACAGGCAGCAGCUGAAGGUGAGAAAAUUUUGACUUGUGCUCUGUCAACAAUAGAGUCCAUUUGGCUUCAGGACAGUGGGAAAUUCUUGCUUGGAGCAGAUCAACCAUCGUUAGCGGAUCUUAGCCUUGUCUGUGAAAUCAUGCAACUUCAUGUAAUACUUUUUGUUUCCUUGCUUUCUUUUUUGUUUUAACUUUGGAAUUACAACCACACAGUCACAUGUUAGUUCCCUGAGGUGGACAUGACAUUCAUAUGUAAACUUGUUUGUUGGAUACAGCUAUUGGAAGAAAAUGAUCGCAAUCGUUUACUGGGCCCAUACAAGAAAGUUCAACAGUGGAUUGAAAAUACAAAAACUGCAACGAACCCUCAUUUUGAUGAACUCCACGGUGCUGUUUUUCAAUUCGGUGCAAUGCUGAACAAGCAGCAGUAAGCAGGAAGGAAGAGUGAGGUUUAUCUCAAAUGCAAUAUUUGAGGAAGAGUGUUGUAGCCUUUUAUUUAAAAAUCUGCAAUAAGAUUGUUCGACAUUUUCAGAGAUUAAGGACUUGUCAGGCAGUGUUAAUGUUGCUUGCUAUGUAUCAAAACGUUUGGAUAAUAUUUCCUGAUAUUGUCCAAAUGAUGAGAACCUUGUUGAAUAAAUAGAUGUUUAUGUUAUAUCUGGUGUUUUUUCUGACGGGAUAUUUAGAUACUGGCCCAUGGAAUGAAGGUAUCUUUAUGUUUAUUAUAGUGCUAAUUUGCUUUUCAGGCCUGAAAACCCAAUUCAAGCAAAUUUUAAGAAAUUAUAAUCUCAUUAUUUGCUUCAAUGAUUUGGGUACUUUCUUCAAUUCUUCUUCAGUAUCAUAAUGCAAAUAAAUUACAAAGAAGGAACAGCAUAUUCUUUAGCAUCUCAUAUGGGUUUCACAAAUCAAUUUCCUGAAAAUUUUAACUGGAAAGCAGACUUGUACGGUUCUUUUUUCAUGGGCAAAACUGGAAUUAAAUAGUCUUGAUAUGCGGGCUUGUAGUUGCAACUAACAUCUUUCCCACCAUUUUUACUUGGCCCAGUUUCUAACCUUACAAGCUGUAGGAAAUGCACCUGAGAAGCGUGAAAGUUGGACUCCGGCAGUCAAUCCAACAAGAUUAGCUGUUUAAAAGCCCGAAACCAAAAACUGGUGAACAUCAGUCUUGAAGAAACAAACAUCAUACUCUCUUCAUAGAUCGACAGUUUAGAAAUAGAGAGAAGCAAGAAAAUGAAGCUGAAGAUAUAUGCAGAUCGAAUGUCCCAGCCAUCACGGGCAGUUCUUAUCUUCUGCAAGUAAUUUAAUUUAAUGGUUUUUUACUGCAAAUUUAAAGCUGGGUUUUUGUUUUUCUUGAUUAUUUUUGACUUGGGUGUUUAUAUACAGGGUGAUUAUAAUGUUAACUAAAUCUACCUUAAAUAGUUUUUUUUGAGCAAAAUAUAGAAGCUUUAAAACCUACCUUAAAUAGUCAUUUUUCCUAUUUUGUAGUAAUUUGAUAGAUUCAGUUUGAAAAUAUCUAUAGCCCGUGCUUUUAAGGUUUGAGGUGGCUCGAAUAAGUGUAAAUGAAUUGAGUUGACACGUUAAUUAGUUAUUUAAGCUCGAUUUGAAAAAAAUUUAAAAUAUUUAGUUGAAAUUCAACUUGAGUCUAACGAUGUAAACUCAGAAAAUUUGUAGAGCCUUAAGUUCUAACGUGUUUAGAACACCAACAAGGUUUGACUCAGCUAGAUGAAUUCUCGAGUCUCGACACCGUCAUCUAGCCAAAGAGAUAAAAAGUCUACUAUGACAGUGAUAGAAAAUGUAAAUACACAGCAGAUGUACGCGCCGUCGUAUUUGGCAAUUUGCGCUGGGUUUGAUUCUUGUGAACGCGAGAGCGAAUCCUGGUAUCGCCCAAUUAUGUCAGUUAUGGGAAAAAUCAAAAUAUGCUUUAACUAGUAUUUAAUGGCAAUUGAAGGCAGAGAAACUGGCGGGAUACCUUACGUGUUUGCUUGUCGCAUUCAUAUCUUCAUCAAUCAUGGAAACUUAUCAUAAAUAAUUCUUGUCACAUCUGCGUUAUCCCAUACAUAAAACGCGUUUAACCUUACUCUUUCCAAUUAUAUAAGCGAUAAGGAUCCACCAGAGCACAGAGCAAUAGAGCAUAUACUCACACAAACAAUACUAUCUACAGAGAGAGAAUCGGCAGCGACAAUGGCGUUGAAAGUGUACGGACAUCGAGGUUCCCAACCGACACGCGCUGCUAUGAUCUUCUGCAAGUAAUUUCAUAUUUCGAUCACUUAUUCAUGAUCAUAUUUUUAACUUUCAGAUCAGUAUUUUGCAUUUUUUUUUCUGCUGAUGACUGUUAAUAAAAUCCGCUAGGAUUAAUGGAAUUGAGUUUGAGGAGAUCACAAUUGACUUGUCUAAGAAUCAGCAUAAGACUCCUGAAUUCAAAGGUAUUAUUUAUUUUAUGAAAUGUUUAGAUAAAUUAUUGUUGUUUAUGACUAAUUAAUUAGUAAAUGAUUUAGAUAUAUGAGAUCUGUUUUUAGAUUCAAUUAGUUCUUUGACAUAAUCAUGGUCAUUGACUUUAUAAAUUUGUAAGCAGGACUGUUUGUUGGUCCUUACUGCUUGAAAAUGGAACCAUUAUAUUUGUUUAUUGAGAGUGUAUAUGAUUAGGAUUUGAUUUUUUUGAUGUUGGAGGUUUGAUCUUGCUUUCUUGACGACUUAUUAUGCCCAGCUGUUUCAAGUUUACUGAACAAAAUCCAGUUGUAUUUAACGCAUUAGUGAUCGGUUUCUUCCAAAAUAUUAAUAAUGAGUAGUAAUUUGUUUAUUGAUAUGAUUAGCACUAACCUUUUUUGUUGUUGACGACAUUUUUCAGAGAUAAAUCCUAUAGGGCAAGUGCCAGCUAUUGUUCAUGAUGAUUUUAAGCUAUUUGAGAGGUAUGAUAUAACCCUGUUUUGGUGCGCUCUUUCCCCCCCCACGCAGAAAUUUGUUAUUUUAUUGUACAAAUUGAGGGUUGGUUUGUUAAGGACUAUUUUUUAUCUGUUCAUUUACCAUUCUGCAUCGGCGGAGAUUGUUGUUGCUGAAAUAUUAGAUUAAAUCUAUCCUGUUACCACUUACCCCAAACCAACCCUGUGUGUACUCACAGUCUCACAGACGCAUAAGUUUGGUGAAGAUAUCCCAAGUUAAUCACAAUAUUAUACAUGUCUAUCUUUUCAAAUAUCCAGACAAGCCAUGUGGAUGCAACUUUUAUCAUAUAACUUGGUUUUAUGAUGUAUUCUUAAGUAUUGAAUUGUGUUAGUUCCUCCUCCAGCCACAGAAAUUUAUGUGUCAACUAACUUCUUUUUCCACUCUGCAGCCAUGCAGUCCUUACCUAUCUUGCCUGUGCGUUUCCUGGAGUUACAGAUCAUUGGUAAGCAGAGUUCAUCAUAUUUUGCAGUCAAUUUCUUUGAUUAGGCUCUGCGUGAGUCUUGUCAAUGUUCAAAGUUUUGAAUUGGAAAUGUAACAGAAUUAUAAUGACUGAGGCUGAUUUUCAAGACAUGCAUAUAAGUUGAUGUCUAGAUAGUCUAGAUGCAUAUAAAAGCAUAAAACAAGCAUAAAAUAUGAGUGCUAAGAAAGUUUUUGGAUUGCCAAUAGCAAGUUACUUUUAUUCAACCAAAUGUCAUAUUUUGCACUCAGUUCUUAAUAGUUUUCCAUGUGCACUAAAGGUAUCCUGCUGAUCUUCGCAAGAGAGCCAAGGUUCAAUCUGUGUUAGACUGGCACCAUUCUACCUUACGCCGUGGCUCAGGUGCUUCAUACACUACUCCAUAUGAUAUUGAAAGUAGUUUGUGUGUGUGUGUGUGUGUGUGUGUGUCUUGCUAACAUUUAUCUCUCUCUCUCUCUCUCUCUCGAAUAAAUAUAUAUAUAUAUAUACAUACACACACACCUUGCUAACUGUGAUACUUUGUAGUGACCGAGAGUGUUGUUACUUCUUUCUUUGAUGUUAAAAUAUGACUAACCUUCAAGCUUCGAAGACCACGUUGUAGUAGCAAUGAAGAGGAAUUCGUAACCUGUAUGAUAGGUUUAAAACAACCUGUAUGAUGGGUUUAACUUGGCAUAAAAUAGAUUAGACCUUAAGGCUGCCCUAUGGUGACUGUGCUUUGCCUUGACAUCUCAUGCAAUUAUCUAACAUGUCCUAGAGAGCAUGGCGUUUAACAAUAACCUAAUUACAAUCAGAAUUGAAGAUGUUCGUUCAUCCUUUUUUUUUUGUCCAUCUUAGUACUGGGUAUUGCAAACUAAAAAAGUUCCAUUUCUUAAUUUGUUUAGUAUAAUGCUGAACCAUUAAUAAUUCAAUUUCUCAUAUUUCUGUUGCUUUUGAAAUACUCAGGAGCUUGCUUGUUGAUAUAUGUUCAGUUGCGCCAUGGGAUACUGAUUUAUUUGCCUUUUCUUUCCAGUUACCUAUGUGAUAAAUGCUAAACUGGCACCUGUAUUUGGCCAGCCCCUUAACCCACAGGCAGCAGCUGAAGGUGAGAAAAUUUUGACUUGUGCUCUGUCAACAAUAGAGUCCAUUUGGCUUCAGGACAGUGGGAAAUUCUUGCUUGGAGCAG
RNAcentral lists this long non-coding RNA (5241 nucleotides) under Jatropha curcas. RNAcentral describes it as "long non-coding RNA (JCUR_LNC002854)". Lineage: Eukaryota; Viridiplantae; Streptophyta; Magnoliopsida; Malpighiales; Euphorbiaceae. The record is from RNAcentral.